Non-coding RNA from Pelobates cultripes (western spadefoot toad), 364 nucleotides. The record is from the annotation of a GenBank genome assembly. NCBI's taxonomy places the organism in Eukaryota, Metazoa, Chordata, Amphibia, Anura, Pelobatidae.
GUCCAGUAGGGUUGGCAGGAAAGUCAAAGUUUAUUCUGAGGCCAGGUCAGUUUGGCGUGACAGUUCAUCUGUGGUCCCAUUUUGCUUGCCUGAUGUAUAGUAAAAUCAUAGGGUUGUAGGGCAAGGCUCCAGCGCAGCAAACGGGCAUUGUCCCCUGAGACCCGGUUGAGCCAGACCAAAGGAUUGUGGUCGGUGAUAAGGGUGAAGGCACGGCCAUAGAGAUAUGGAGUGAGUUUUUUGAGAGCCCAGACUAACGCCAGGCACUCUUUCUCAAUGGUCGCAUAACUGACCUCCCUUGGCAACAACUUCCGACUCAGGUAGGCUACCGGGUGCUCUCCUCCAUCCUCUCCGAUCUGGCUUAAUA